Molecule: ribosomal RNA, 513 nt
Filed under: uncultured archaeon
Lineage: Archaea
Description: bacterial SSU rRNA
Rfam family: Archaeal small subunit ribosomal RNA
Source: RNAcentral
ACCUUUACACUGCGGGAAACCGCGAUAAGGGGACCCCGAGUGCCAGCACCUAGUGCUGGCUGUCCAGCUGUCUAAAUAACAGUUGUUAGCAAGGGCCGGGCAAGACCGGUGCCAGCCGCCGCGGUAACACCGGCGGCCCGAGUGGUAGCCGCUAUUAUUGGGUUUAAAGGGCCCGUAGCCGGCCUAUUAAGUCUCUUGGGAAAUCUGGCGGCUUAAUCGUCAGGCGGCCAAGAGAUACUGGUAGGCUUGGGACCGGGAGAGGUGGGAGGUACUCCAGGGGUAGGGGUGAAAUCUCGUAAUCCUUGGGGGACCACCGAUGGCGAAGGCAUCCCACCAGAACGGGUCCGACGGUGAGGGACGAAAGCUGGGGGCACGAACCGGAUUAGAUACCCGGGUAGUCCCAGCUGUAAACGAUGCUCGCUAGGUGUCAGGUGCGGUGCGACCGCAUCUGGUGCCGCAGUGAAAACUUGAAGCGAGUCACCUGGGAAGUACGGUCGCAAGGCUGAAACUUAA